CAGGAGCAGGGAAGAGUUACACCAUGAUGGGAAGACAGGAAGAGGGACAGGAGGGGAUCAUUCCCCAGCUGUGUGAGGAUUUGUUUAAGAGGACAGUUGGAAACACAGAUCCUGAUCUCUCCUUCUCAGUGGAGGUGUCCUACAUGGAGAUCUACUGUGAGAGGGUGCGUGACCUGUUGAACCCUAAGUCGAAGGGUACACUCCGUGUUAGGGAGCACCCUAUAAUGGGACCGUACGUUGAAGAUCUGUCUAAACUGGCUGUGACCGGAUACAAUGACAUUCAGGACCUAAUGGACUGUGGAAACAAA
Oncorhynchus masou masou (cherry salmon) is the source of this 308-nucleotide long non-coding RNA. RefSeq lists it as uncharacterized. NCBI's taxonomy places the organism in Eukaryota, Metazoa, Chordata, Actinopteri, Salmoniformes, Salmonidae. The record is from RefSeq and is a predicted model, not a curated record. The transcript is spliced from 3 exons.